RNAcentral lists this small RNA (88 nucleotides) under Balneicella halophila. Its description in RNAcentral is "Flavo-1 RNA". It matches the Rfam family "Flavo-1 RNA". The record is from Rfam by way of RNAcentral. Lineage: Bacteria; Pseudomonadati; Bacteroidota; Bacteroidia; Bacteroidales; Balneicellaceae.
AAUUAGCCCCGAUUGUAGUGUAUAUCCUUUUUGUGGGAGGAUUGGUGCGAAAAGGGAAAAAAGAUAGGAACGGAAAGCGGGAAAGUGU